Podarcis lilfordi (Lilford's wall lizard) is the source of this 68-nucleotide non-coding RNA. The record is from the annotation of a GenBank genome assembly. Lineage: Eukaryota; Metazoa; Chordata; Lepidosauria; Squamata; Lacertidae.
UGUAUGUGUGUAUGUGUGUGUAUGUGUGUGUGUGUGACAUACACACAAACACACACACACGCAAUACG